Molecule: long non-coding RNA, 665 nt
Filed under: Hordeum vulgare
Lineage: Eukaryota; Viridiplantae; Streptophyta; Magnoliopsida; Poales; Poaceae
Description: long non-coding RNA (HVUL_LNC014010)
Source: RNAcentral
CUUUACACUUGAAAGUUGCAACCAACUCUUCUGAAAAUGAUCCCCAUACUACAUUUAUCAAUUGGCUUUUGCACUUGCAAGUUGCAACCAACUCUUCCAACUAUUCUUCUCUAAUAUACUAGCAAUUCCUUUGAGUUUAUACUAGAUGCAUGUCUUUUUGCAUUUUUAUUCACUUCAUGAUCCCGCACUGUCCAUAUUUCAUAAUGGUUCUGGAAGGAGGGAAAGUGAUUGGUAGUGCCAAGAAUAUAUGCGGUGAAAUGCCAUGCUCUGUUGGUCGACAAAAGUGGAUACAACUAGCUAGCACCUAGCAUAUAAGAAGCAGACUGAUACUUGCCUUGCUCUGGUUCCUCAAAGCCGCCUUUUCCUUUUUACAUAUUCUGAAAAUGUUGUGUUGUAUGAAGAUUAAAUUUUAUUUGUCGUAGAAGUAAGAAAUCAUUUGAUUGAGAAUGCACAUCCCCGCUAUAUGAGUGGGGAGUAAAAGAAGAAGAAUUUUUUCUAUAAAAAAGUAGUUCUUAUUGUAAGUUAUUUACACACACAGACAUGGACAUCAUAUCGAAUAUUGAACAAAUUAGUAAUGACUUUAGUUAGUGUGCAAGAUCAAUAUUUUUGAAUAUGUUACACAUGUGAAAUAUACAAAUUAAGUAUGCUACAUUUCACAAAAACUG